UUAGGGAGGAGCUUGCGUCACAUUAGUUAGUUGGUGGGGUAAAGGCCUACCAAGACUAUGAUGUGUAGCCGGGCUGAGAGGUUGAACGGCCACAUUGGGACUGAGACACGGCCCAAACUCCUACGGGAGGCAGCAGUAGGGAAUUUUCGGCAAUGGAGGAAACUCUGACCGAGCAACGCCGCGUGAACGAUGAAGUAUUUCGGUACGUAAAGUUCUUUUAUUAGGGAAGAAUAAAUGAUGGAAAAAUCAUUCUGACGGUACCUAAUGAAUAAGCCCCGGCUAACUAUGUGCCAGCAGCCGCGGUAAUACAUAGGGGGCAAGCGUUAUCCGGAAUUAUUGGGCGUAAAGGGUGCGUAGGCGGUUAAAUAAGUUUAUGGUCUAAGUGCAAUGCUCAACAUUGUGAUGCUAUAAAAACUGUUUAGCUAGAGUAAGAUAGAGGCAAGUGGAAUUCCAUGUGUAGUGGUAAAAUGCGUAAAUAUAUGGAGGAACACCAGUAGCGAAGGCGGCUUGCUGGGUCUUUACUGACGCUGAGGCACGAAAGCGUGGGGAGCAAACAGGAUUAGAUACCCUGGUAGUCCACGCCGUAAACGAUGAGUACUAACCGUUGGGUAAAACCAGUGUUGAAGUUAACACAUUAAGUACUCCGCCUGAGUAGUACGUACGCAAGUAUGAAACUUAAAGGAAUUGACGGGACUCCGCACAAGCGGUGGAUCAUGUUGUUUAAUUCGAAGGUACCCGAAAAACCUCACCAGGUCUUGACAUGCUUCUGCAAAGCUGUAGAAACACAGUGGAGGUUAUCAGUUGCACAGGUGGUGCAUGGUUGUCGUCAGCUCGUGUCGUGAGAUGUUGGGUUAAGUCCCGCAACGAGCGCAACCCUUAUUGUUAGUUACCAGCACGUAAUGGUGGGGACUUUAGCAAGACUGCCAGUGAUAAAUUGGAGGAAGGUGGGGACGACGUCAAAUCAUCAUGCCCCUUAUGACCUGGGCUACAAACGUGAUACAAUGGCUGUUACAAAGGGUAGCUGAAGCGCAAGUUUUUGGCGAAUCUCAAAAAAACAGUCUCAGUUCGGAUUGAAGUCUGCAACUCGACUUCAUGAAGUUGGAAUCGCU
Molecule: ribosomal RNA, 1109 nt
Filed under: 'Populus nigra' phytoplasma
Lineage: Bacteria; Bacillati; Mycoplasmatota; Mollicutes; Acholeplasmatales; Acholeplasmataceae
Description: bacterial SSU rRNA
Rfam family: Bacterial small subunit ribosomal RNA
Source: RNAcentral